Molecule: ribosomal RNA, 591 nt
Filed under: Sinocyclocheilus xunlensis
Lineage: Eukaryota; Metazoa; Chordata; Actinopteri; Cypriniformes; Cyprinidae
Description: partial 16S ribosomal RNA
Rfam family: Bacterial large subunit ribosomal RNA
Source: RNAcentral
AAAACAUCGCCUCCUGCGACGCAACCAAGUAUAGGAGGUCCAGCCUGCCCAGUGACUACAAGUUCAACGGCCGCGGUAUUCUAACCGUGCAAAGGUAGCGCAAUCACUUGUCUUUUAAAUAAAGACCUGUAUGAAUGGCUAAACGAGGGCUUAACUGUCUCCCCUUUCAAGUCAGUGAAAUUGAUCUACCCGUGCAGAAGCGGGUAUGAUAAUACAAGACGAGAAGACCCUUUGGAGCUUAAGGUACAAAACUCAACCACAUUAAGCAACUCAAUAAAAAGUAAAAACUUUGUGAACAUGAAAUUUUACCUUCGGUUGGGGCGACCACGGAGGAAAGAAAAGCCUCCAAAUGGACCGGGGAAACCCCCUAAAACCAAGAGAGACAUCUCUAAGCCACAGAACAUCUGACCAAGCAUGAUCCGGCUAGUAUAGACCGAUUAAUGAACCAAGUUACCCUAGGGAUAACAGCGCAAUCCUCUCCCAGAGUCCAUAUCGACGAGGGGGUUUACGACCUCGAUGUUGGAUCAGGACAUCCUAAUGGUGCAGCCGCUAUUAAGGGUUCGUUUGUUCAACGAUUAAAGUCCUACGUGA